CCUACGGGAGGUAGCAGUGGGGAAUAUUGCACAAUGGGCGCAAGCCUGAUGCAGCCAUGCCGCGUGUGUGAAGAAGGCCUUCGGGUUGUAAAGCACUUUCAGCGGGGAGGAAGGCGGUGAGGUCAAUAACCUCAUCGAUUGACGUUACCCGCAGAAGAAGCACCGGCUAACUCCGUGCCAGCAGCCGCGGUAAUACGGAGGGUGCAAGCGUUAAUCGGAAUUACUGGGCGUAAAGCGCACGCAGGCGGUCUGUCAAGUCGGAUGUGAAAUCCCCGGGCUCAACCUGGGAACUGCAUUCGAAACUGGCAGGCUAGAGUCUUGUAGAGGGGGGUAGAAUUCCAGGUGUAGCGGUGAAAUGCGUAGAGAUCUGGAGGAAUACCGGUGGCGAAGGCGGCCCCCUGGACAAAGACUGACGCUCAGGUGCGAAAGCGUGGGGAGCAAACAGGAUUAGAUACCCUAGUAGUC
RNAcentral lists this ribosomal RNA (465 nucleotides) under uncultured Klebsiella sp. RNAcentral describes it as "bacterial SSU rRNA". It matches the Rfam family "Bacterial small subunit ribosomal RNA", at positions 338 to 795 of the family's 1533-position model. Lineage: Bacteria; Pseudomonadati; Pseudomonadota; Gammaproteobacteria; Enterobacterales; Enterobacteriaceae. The record is from RNAcentral.